GAUGAAGAACGUAGCGAAAUGCGAUACGUAAUGUGAAUUGCAGAAUUCAGUGAAUCAUCGAAUCUUUGAACGCAUAUUGCGCUCUUUGGUAUUCCGAAGAGCAUGCUUGUUUGAGUAUCAGUAAACACCUCAAAAGAUUUUCAUUUUUGAAAUGAUUUUGGAUUUGAGCAAUCCCAACACCAGUCUUCACGGAUCGGCGGAGGGUUGCUUGAAAUGCAGGUGCAGCUGGACAUUCUCCUGAGCUAAAAGCAUAUCUAUUUAGUCCCGUCAAACGGAUUAUUACUUUUGCUGCAGCUAACAUAAAGGGAGUUUGACCAUUUUGGCUGACUGAUGCAGGAUUUCACAAGGGUCGGUAAAACGAUUUUUGUAAAACUCGAUCUCAAAUCAAGUAAGACUACCCGCUGAACUUAAGCAUAUCAAUAAGCGGAGGA
Molecule: unclassified non-coding RNA, 431 nt
Filed under: soil metagenome
Description: partial contains 5.8S ribosomal RNA, internal transcribed spacer 2, and large subunit ribosomal RNA
Rfam family: 5.8S ribosomal RNA (bases 1-120)
Source: RNAcentral